This 1059-nucleotide long non-coding RNA is filed under the name Vigna radiata. RNAcentral's name for it is "long non-coding RNA (VRAD_LNC015982)". The record is from RNAcentral. Lineage: Eukaryota; Viridiplantae; Streptophyta; Magnoliopsida; Fabales; Fabaceae.
GUGUUUGGCGGAUUGCAAGAGAGGGGACAUCUUGCUACAAGUCUUGCUGUGUUGUAUGCCUAUAUUUUGGUUAGAGGGUUAGAGAGGAGAUUUAUAUUUUUGACGUGGAAGUCUUCUAUAAAUUCCUUGUUGUAAAAACCUUAACCAUUAUAGUGCAUUUUCUUCCUGGGUUGGAAGGACACUGGAUGUAGGCGUUGUUGACCGAUCCAGUAUAAAAACCAGUAUUUGAUUUCUCUAUCCCUACUCUUUUAUUUUCAGUCGACUAUGAUAUCUGCGUAGUCAACUACGAUUUUCCAAGCACACAUUUUUCAUUACUUGCAUUUCAAGAAAGACUUGUAAAGUGUUCAACUUUGGUUUAAAGAUUGCAAAAAGACUCUGAUUUUGAAAAUUCAUCAAUUCACCCCCCCUCUCGGUGUAAAAUGAAGCCUACCUGUUUUUCAACAGUGUCAAUGACAACAACAACGAUGGAAGUUAUGAAGGUGAUGGCAAUAAUGAUGGAGGUGGAGGUGGUGAAAAUGAAGAAGGAGAAGUAGAAGAAGGAUAAGGAAGAAGAGAAGGAGGAGUAGGAGUGGGAAUAAGAGGAAAAGAAGGAGGAGGAAACAACGUGUGCAAAAACAAACGUAGCAGUGGUGAUAAUGGCGAAAGACGAGGAGGAAAAAGAAGAAAGAAAAUGAAAAAAAUGAAGAGAAGAAGAAUGAAGAAGACCAAAUCGAGAUAUUUACCAACAAAUUUUAUCGAUAACCCAAAAUUUCUCGGUAAUUAUCGAUAAAUCAUUACUAAUAGAUAAUUAUUUUGGGUUGUCGGUAAUUAUCAACAAAUAAAAUUUAUUGACAAGCAUUUUAUCCAUGGAUUUUCUUGCUAUUGAGAAUCCCGUUGAGACAAAAUUAGAAUGUCCAGCAACCCUUGUUUUGAAAUUUAUCAAACAAUAAUCAACAAAAUAUUGAUGUAUAAAGAAGCGUCCAAACAAUUGGGUUUGCCUAGUAGACAAGUGCUUAACCAACAAAUCUUAAUCACUAAGACAAAAUAAAAAUGAGAGUAAUUUUGAUCACGAAAAUAACG